RNAcentral lists this transfer RNA (59 nucleotides) under Caenorhabditis elegans. It matches the Rfam family "tRNA", at positions 7 to 64 of the family's 71-position model. From Rfam's summary of the family: Transfer RNA (tRNA) molecules are approximately 80 nucleotides in length. Their secondary structure includes four short double-helical elements and three loops (D, anti-codon, and T loops). Lineage: Eukaryota; Metazoa; Nematoda; Chromadorea; Rhabditida; Rhabditidae. The record is from Rfam by way of RNAcentral.
AUGGUCUAGUGGUAUGAUUCUCGCUUUGGGUGCGAGAUGUCCCGGGUUCAAUCCCCGGU